RNAcentral lists this ribosomal RNA (253 nucleotides) under uncultured bacterium. RNAcentral's name for it is "partial 16S ribosomal RNA". It matches the Rfam family "Bacterial small subunit ribosomal RNA", at positions 524 to 776 of the family's 1533-position model. The record is from RNAcentral.
UACGAAGGGGGCUAGCGUUGCUCGGAAUCACUGGGCGUAAAGCGCACGUAGGCCGAUUGUUAAGUCAGGGGUGAAAUCCCGGGGCUCAACCUCGGAACUGCCUUUGAUACUGCGGGUCUUGAGUCCGAUAGAGGUGGGUGGAAUUCCUAGUGUAGAGGUGAAAUUCGUAGAUAUUAGGAAGAACACCGGUGGCGAAGGCGGCCCACUGGAUCGGUACUGACGCUGAGGUGCGAAAGCGUGGGGAGCAAACAGG